AGCUCCAAUAGCGUAUAUUAAAGUUGUUGCAGUUAAAAAGCUCGUAGUUGGAUCUGGGUGCUGGGUGUUGGCAGCUACAAUUGCUUAUAACAAGCAAGUACUGCCUAACUCGGCUCUUGCUAGCCGGUGCGUCUGCUGCUUGUGCUCUUCACUGAGUGCCUGCAGAGCCUGGCAUGUUUACUUUGAAAAAAUUAGAGUGCUCAAAGCAGGCGAUUGCGCCUGAAUAGUGUUGCAUGGAAUAAUGGAAGAGGACCUCGGUUCUACUUUGUUGGUUUAAUGUUUUCGGAACUAGAGGUAAUGAUUAAGAGGGGCGGACGGGGGCAUUCGUAUUUCGGUGUUAGAGGUGAAAUUCUUGGAUCGCUGAAAGACGGACAAAUGCGAAAGCAUUUGCCAAGCACGUCUCCA
RNAcentral lists this ribosomal RNA (405 nucleotides) under uncultured eukaryote. Its description in RNAcentral is "SSU rRNA". It matches the Rfam family "Eukaryotic small subunit ribosomal RNA", at positions 587 to 972 of the family's 1831-position model. The record is from RNAcentral.